Molecule: long non-coding RNA, 5301 nt
Filed under: Gossypium raimondii (Peruvian cotton)
Lineage: Eukaryota; Viridiplantae; Streptophyta; Magnoliopsida; Malvales; Malvaceae
Description: long non-coding RNA (GRAI_LNC007657)
Source: RNAcentral
AAAUUUUUUCUCAUUCUUGCCGCCAUCAUGCUCUAAGGCAGAUAAGGUAGCAAAUAGAGAACCCCUUAGCAUUCGCUUGAUUUUUACCUAAAAAUUUGUCCUUCGAACUUAAGUUGUGCCACGAUUACCUCCCAACGAUCAUCCAUGGUCCGUAGGUUUCUAAUGCCUCUACUAUUUUAUCCUUCUCCGGUUGAACCUCCACGGUUGCUAUCUCCUUAUAACCAUCGCGGCCCAACUCUAGACCUUUAGAUGGGAAAAGGUCACGUACAUGCCCGUAACGGCUACACGAAAAAUAAACUACUGGUAAGGAUUCGUAUUCGACUCUCUACAAUGUGUUUUUCAUCAAUAUUUGAGAGAUUAGCGAUUUGUCGAUAUUAAUGAAAAUCGCCAUUCGAGUGAACCUCCCUCUUGAGCCACUGCUGUGUUAAAAUCUAAUUUAGCAACUUUACCUAUUAGACCACCUAUUUCUUCCAAGAUUCUACGUUUGUAAAGUACCCCCGAUAGCCCAAGUAAACAGAUCCAUGCCAUGACAGUGCCAGGGAACGGUUGGAGGGGACUGAAGACAAGAGUCCACGACUGACCUGUGAGAUAUUGGACGAGCACAACCCGUGGACCUUGAGUGAGAACCUUCUCGUAAUCCCACUAUUCUGAAAUCUCACCAGAAAAUGGUCGUUUUCAACGUCCAUAAGUUGAAAUGAAUGAGUUGGUUUCCAAAGGCUAAAAAUCCUAUUAUGAAAUGUAGUAUAAGCCAAAUUCCUACCUAACAGUUUCACCACCACCGUUAAGGCCAUAUCCCUUAUUAGAAUUUUCUGUAACCGGUCAGAAAAAUUUAUUGUUGGUAUUCCAUUAACCUUAGAUUUCGUGAAAUAUCCCUCCUAAAAUUCAAUCUCCUCUUCUUGUACCGACUCCAAAGAACCUUUCCCAACUACUUUAUCCCUCUAGGUCAUCGGUGCCAAAGGGGAUGGAUCCACGUCUAUAACACCCCUAACCCGUCUCUAUCGCCGGUAUAGGGUUAUGGAGCAUUACCAUAAAAUCAGAAAUAUUUAAACAUCCUAACAUUCAAUAAUUUAAAUAUAUCUUAAACCAUUCAAUCACAUACAUUUUGUCCCUAAAUCGAGCAUUUGAGGCCCUAAAAAUAGCUUGGAAGCAAUUCGGGACUAAUUUGCAACAAAACAAAAAGUUUAAGAAUAAGUUGCAAAAUUUGAAAAACAAGGGUCACACGCCUGUGUGGCCAGGCCGUGUAACUUUCAAACAAGGGACACACAGCCGUGUCCCAACCUAUGUCCUCACCCGUGUAACUCAUUGAUUAGGUUCACACGAUCGUGUCACACACUUAUGUGUCAGGCCGUGUAACUCACUGACUUAAACACUAAGAAAUUCAUAUAUGACACACGGCCGUAUGACAGCCCGUGUCUUAGGCCGUGUGAAUCUAAAAUAUGCCUAAAAUCAAGUCAUUUUAUAACCAAACUAUGCAUAAAUAUACAAUCCAAUUGUGCACACCUUCAAGUAACCUAAACAUCAUCCAAAUACAUAUAAAGAUGUCAUUUCAAAGACCCUAAUUCAACUAAACAAUAUGCCAUUCAAAAGCACCACAAUUAUAUCAAACAACAACUAUCAAAACAUGUCAAUGUUGUCUCAUUUCAUGCAUGAUAACCUAUUUCAACUAUAUACCAAAACAUACCAAAAAUAACCAUUUUCAAACCAUUCUAAACAUACCAUAAAGAGCCUUAUUUACAAGCAUUAACAAGUAACCAAAAAUGACAAAGUUUGGUAAACAUUAAAGUGCACCAACCAAACAUAAUCCUCAAGACUUUAACAUAUCAAAGCACCUUUACAAAACAUCCUAUACAUGUCAUUAUUAAUCUUGCCCAAAAUAUACAAAAACUACCAAAAAGACUUCUGGAUAGUGUGAUAGAUCUCCGAUAAGGUUCCAAAUCGAUCGAGUUUCCGAUAAUCUAUAAAACAAAGGAAAGAAACUAUGUAAGCAGUGAGUGUUUAAUAAGCUCGUAUAAACUUAAACAUAACUUACCAUUUUAAUAAUGCAAUAUAUAGAUUAAACAAAUUCAACACCAACGUCAUAAGCUUAGCAAAGCCUAAUCAACAUCACCAACUCACAAGUUAGUAUAUCUAUCCAUAACAUAAUUGAAAUCAACUAUAAGACAUGUAAAUUUCUAUAUGUACAACAUCAUUUAGUUCAUAAAUCCUUUCACUAAGUCAUGAUUCACUCCAUUUGCAUACUUACCAUUUCGUUCCCUUUUCUUACCCGUUGAGCAAUCUAAAGUUACAUUGAAUACUCGGGAAAGCUCACACGAAGUGUGCCUUUACAUAUAACCAAAAAUCUUUCCUUUACAUCAAUACUCACACGAGCUGUGAAAUGGGUCUACUCACACGAGAUGUGGGUCAAAAUGUAAACUACAUGAUGUAAUCACACGAGCUGUGGAGAAUCUGUAACAAAUGCAAGACCUCAGCCAUCAGUGGGACAUUCAAGACCAGCACCCGAAACAUGAAAUCCCUACUGACAUGUCAUUUGUAUCCUAAGAAUCUCUAAGGUUCAACCGAGACUCGAUAUCCGUCAAUUCAUCAUAGCAUUCAUACAUUGAUACAUUUGUAUUUUGAUUCAUUUACAUGAAAAAAAAACAUAAUAAACAUUCAAUUUAAACAACAUUUAAACUAUUACAGUUCAUACAAACUUACAUUGAUAACUAGGGCGUAGAAGUAAGAUCGAGCUAAUCUGAAGCUUUAGCUUUUCCUCGAUCUAAUUCUGAAUGUGGUUUAUCUUGAUCUAAAUAGAUAUUUUCAAUCAAUUAAAUACUUUUAAUAUUCGAUUUAAUCCAUAUGUCAUAUUUAUAAAAAAUUAUCAAUUUUCCCCUAACAUUUUAACUUUUCACAAUUUAGUCCUUAAGCUUAUAACUUCAAAUCUAACCAUUUUAAUCUAAAUCCAUGUUAACCAUAGAUACAAGGGACUUUGAAACAACCUAUAUCUACCACCAUUUCACAAUAAAACCCUAGAAUUUAUAUCUUUAACAAAUUAAUCUCUAUUUCCAAAAUUCAUCAAAAUCACUUUAAAAAAACUUGUUUAUUUUUCAACAAUGAUUCAUAAUCUAUCAAUUAACAUCAAAACUCAUUCAAAAACAUUGAUGGUAAGUCCCUCAACCUUUAACAAUUUUACAAACUAACCCUCGGGCUAGCUAGAUUAAGCUAAAACAAACUUAAAAACAUAAAAAUCAUUAAAAACGGGGCUUGAAUUUAUACCAUGCAAGAAGAAAACAAAACCGAAGCUUUCCCCUCUUCAAUGGUGAAAUUCGGCCAAGACAAGUGAAAAUGAGAAAGAUGAUAACUUUGUUUCAUCUUUCUUUACUUAAAUUUUCUUUUAAUUACACAAUUGCCAUUUUAACCUUUAAAAACUAUUAAAAUUUCAACAAAACCUUAUCCAUGCACAUCCACUAACACCUUAAAUGGUUUAUAUAUCAUUCAAGUCUUUUAGUUUAAGAUUUCAUAACCAAGAGACCCCUUUAACUAAUAGAACUUAACUUUUACAACUUUUACGAUUUUGUCCUUCCUACUUAAUUAACUACUUAAACAUCAAAAUUUCUUAACGAAAUUUUAAUACGACCUUAAUAUAUUCCUGUAGAUAUUAAAUAAAUAACAAAAUAAUAAUUUACUCGUCGAAAUUAUGAUCCCAAAACUACUAUUAUCGAUAUCACUAAAAACGGGCUGGUACAACAAUCAUCUCAUUAACCAAGUCUAACUCCACUUCCUUGAACCUAACCUUUUUGGUAUUCCUGUCCUCAAUCGGAAUAUUAUUUCCAUCACCGUCAGCCAAGAUUUCCAUUGAGAACGAGAGUAAUUUUCCUUUUAUAUAUUCAAUGUUUCUUUUAAAUAGCCUUUUGUUUUAUAUUUAUAUCAUUGUACACUUCUUGAUCCAUUAUUAUUCACAGUACUGUAUUUAAAGAAAAACUAAAAAAUAUAUGCUUCAAAGGCUAGAUUGAUAGAGCAAUUCAAAAUGAUGUAAAACUCUCUACAAUUAAGCCGUUGUUGUCCCAUUGUCUGUUUCACCUUGACAACCAUGAUUAACUCAAGUCUCACAUAAAUUGAAUCCUUGAAUUACGAGGUAACUAUGUGGUGGAAGAGGUGCAGUAUGUUCUGAAACUUUGGCCUGCUUUGUUAUAGCUCCGGGACACAUCUGACACCAAACAUCAAGGAAAUGUGUGGGGAAAGGAGGGAUGGAAACCCCAUUUGAUUGGCCAAAGAAAUAUGUCAAUGCCUCGUUUCUUUCAUUUUGAUUAGGUAGCCAUUAAAAUUUUCAUUUCACUCAACGUUGGAACCUUAUUGUCAAUUCCACCUUUGGGGAAGCAUACAACACCAUAAACGAUAAAAUCAUUUUCUCAAAAAUAAUUUAAGAUUGACAAAAAGACCAUCAAGUUUCAAUAAAAACAUGCAAAUGAUUAUGCGAAAUUACAAACUAUAACAGUGAACAACGAAGCCCAGCUUGUAAUUUUGGCAGAGCCCUACAAUUUUCCCCUAAUUAAAAACCUAGGCACUAAAUCAUCUAACCGCCAAAUCCAUACAAAGUCCUACCCUGCCUCUUCAGUGCAUAAACCACAUCCAUGGCAGUCACCGUCUUUCUCCUGGCGUGUUCGGUGUAGGUAACAGCAUCGCGAAUCACGUUCUCCAAGAAUAUCUUGAGAACUCCGCGCGUUUCCUCGUAGAUCAAGCCGCUAAUACGCUUCACUCCUCCCCUACGUGCCAGGCGUCGAAUAGCCGGCUUUGUGAUGCCCUGGAUGUUGUCACGGAGAACCUUACGGUGGCGCUUCGCUCCUCCUUUGCCCAGUCCCUUGCCGCCCUUCCCUCUUCCUGACAUGUUCGAUAUCCAACCAAAUUUAAGAGACUUCAACGAUUUGGAUAAUAAAAUUGGAAAUUUGAGGAGCGAAACAAAAUUGCGAGGUAUUUUAUAGCGGGAACUGGGGAGUUUUUUGUUUAGAUAGUGAUCCAUGCGAUUUCUCUAUUUUACAGUGCCCGUUGACUACUCGUAAUGGAGGGUUCAGAUGAAGAGAAAUAUCGGCGUGGAUCGAUGACCUGGAUUAUUGGGAGUUAUUUUUAAGGUGAUAGGUAUCAAAACAGCAAAUACUUUAUAAUUUUCAGAAAAUACUUUAUACCAAAUGCAUUUUCUAUAUAAUUUUGAUUUCUCUGGUUUGUUGGUUGAAUGCUUACCUUUUUUAUUUUUAGGUUUUAAAUUUGAAUCUCCUCUAAAUUUGAUCAUGGGUCGGGUCAUCCGGCCCGACCUGAAGGCCAGCCUGAAAU